Long non-coding RNA from Prunus persica (peach), 123 nucleotides. RefSeq lists it as uncharacterized. The record is from RefSeq and is a predicted model, not a curated record. The transcript has 2 exons. NCBI's taxonomy places the organism in Eukaryota, Viridiplantae, Streptophyta, Magnoliopsida, Rosales, Rosaceae.
AAGAUGUAGAUGAUGAUAUGGAUGACGAGUUUCGUGGUAGAGAAAUGGGCGGCUCAGAUUCUGAUGUUGAUGAAUAUGACUACUUGAAUAGCAAAGCAGCUGAUACAACUGCUGCUCAAGCAA